Molecule: long non-coding RNA, 593 nt
Filed under: Phascolarctos cinereus (koala)
Lineage: Eukaryota; Metazoa; Chordata; Mammalia; Diprotodontia; Phascolarctidae
Description: lncRNA (ENSPCIG00000017849.2)
Source: RNAcentral
UGACAGUCUGCCUGUGGUUCUAUUAUUCUAACCAUAGUAUGUAUCACCCCAGGCUUGGGUAGAACAUAAAUCUAUUAACUGGAAGUUGGACUCAUCUGUAUCCCAUUACCUUGGACUUUCAGCAAUGUCUUUGGGUGUUAAAAGGCUCUGCUGCCUUUGCUUUCACUACCGGCUUUGCAUGCGAGAUCUUCUCUCACUGUCAGUCCACAGUACUCAGCACUGGACACACUACUGAAUGAUCUACUCAGCCUCUCUUAGUUUCUUAGCUCAAAGAAGGAAAGGAGAAAAAAAAUGUCUUUUUGAUCUACUUGCUUCCAUGAGAAAUCACAGUGAGUGUAUCCUUUUACCUACAGCAGGAACCCACAGGACUGUCUUUCCCAUAACCAGAAGAAGGUCCCAUCAACUAUUUCUCGUCCUUUCUCUUCUCCUCUCCUCCAGUCUUAAACCACUGGGAGCAUCCAUCAUCGACUGAGGGCUGGCUGUUGUGUGCCUGUCACUGUGCUCAUUUGUCCUGGGAAUACAAGGCAAGCGUAAUACAAUAUAGUUUAUUCAAAGGGUCUGUAGCUUCUGACCUUCAAAGGGGAGUGCUAAGG